This 389-nucleotide long non-coding RNA is filed under the name Pan troglodytes (chimpanzee). RNAcentral describes it as "lincRNA". The record is from RNAcentral. Lineage: Eukaryota; Metazoa; Chordata; Mammalia; Primates; Hominidae.
GUGCUAUGGAGGACCUGCUUACUGCUAUGAGGUGUUACUUUAUAGAGGUCCUGGAGAAGCUGAUUGAGGCCACGUCAGUGUUGCAAGGAGACAUGAGACUCACAUCAGAGUUCUAUGGCUUAACAUGGGAGAUGGUGUGAAAAGAACCAGAGAUCCUUGGGGAAAUGUCUGAUUCUAAGAUAUUUCUAAGGCUGGUGAAAACAUAUAUAAGAUAAGCCUGGAGGAGAAGGACCAGUAAUACCAGAAAUCAAGGAGGGGCCCUGAAGAGAAAAGGAUAGCAAAAGGAUGAAGACCUGUCCAAGACCCAGCAGCCAGCAUGAAAGAGCUCUCAAUGGGGAAAGCUGGAACAAUUUCAACAACAAAAUAAAUAACAUAUCACUGGAUUAUAA